Molecule: ribosomal RNA, 433 nt
Filed under: uncultured bacterium
Lineage: Bacteria
Description: partial 16S ribosomal RNA
Rfam family: Bacterial small subunit ribosomal RNA
Source: RNAcentral
AGCGAACGCUGGCGGCAGGCUUAACACAUGCAAGUCGAGCGGGCCCUUCGUGCUCAUCUGCGGACGUGUGAUUGACGCGUGGGAACUUGCCCUUCGGUUCGGAAUAACUCAGUGAAACUUGAGCUAAUACCGGAUACGCCCUUAUCGGGUAAGGCUUGCUGCCGAAUGAUCGGCCCGCGUCUGAUUAGGUGGUUGGUGAGGUUAUGGCUCAGCAAGGCGACGAUCAGUAGCUGGUCUGAGAGGAUGCUCAUCCACGCUGGGAAUGCGACACGGACCAGACUGCGACGGGAGGGAGGAGUGGGGAAUACUGGAGAAUGGAGGCAAAUGUGACAACGCCACGCCGCGUGAGUGAUGCCGGCGUUAGGGAUGUAAAGCUCUUUUCUCCGGGACGAUAAUGACGGUAACGGAGGAAUAAGCACCGGCUAACUUCGUG